AUUAUUUUAACUAAAGCACUGGGUUAAUGACAUUUUUACUUUUUAUUGGGUUAUCAUAACCCAUGCUGGGUUAUUGUUAAGACCCAGGUGCUGGGUUAGUGGCUGAGAGCACAAAAAAUCAUGUAAUGCACCCAGUGCCUGGGUAAUUUUAACCCAGUCAUUGGUCAUUAUAAUAUAGUCUACCAGUUGGAUUGACAAUCGCAAAGACAUGAAGACAACAGUCUUGUACCCCUGGAACAGUGUUCUAGAAUAUUUGAUUGCAACCGUUGGUCCUCCACAUCAAGCGACAAGCCGGCAGUGAAAGCUCGAAGGCAAUGUUCAGCCCCACUCAUAUUCCAGAUCCUGCCCAGUUUACAGCUGCAACACAGUGUCCCGUCCAGACCUUCCACACAGGAUCCCUCAAAGUCAAAGAUUUCCCAGAUCAGCUCCUGCAGGAUGCACAGGUAUUUUGGACAAGUUCUCUCUACUGUUGUCACUACACUACUGUAUUAUGAGCAUUGCUAGUUAAUUGUUUUUGUUAAUUGUAAUUGUUUUUUGUAAAAUGUUUUUUAGAUUUUAGUAAAAUUGUUGUUCAAAAUGAAAUGAAACAGUGUUUGAAUGAAAUGAAACAGUGUUUUUUACUUUUGUACUGUAGCCCAUUUGUGGCAAUCAAUAAAAAAUAUAAAAAUUAAUAUAAUGUAUUCUCCUAUGUCUAUUUCAGCUGAUUUUUUCAGCCCUAUUUCACCUUGAUGUACAUAAGUAAAAUAAAGUAAAGAAAUAUGUUUUUGGAAAUCCAUAAGCAAAAAAACAGAACACCCAAUAGUGGGUCAAAUAUAUAACCCAACAGAGAGGUAAAUAUGAACCAGUAAUGGGCUGGUAGGUCAUAUCCAUUUUUCUGGGUUAUUUUGACCCAUCAUGUUAGUAAGAAUGACCCAUAG
Alosa alosa (allis shad) is the source of this 917-nucleotide long non-coding RNA. RefSeq lists it as uncharacterized. NCBI's taxonomy places the organism in Eukaryota, Metazoa, Chordata, Actinopteri, Clupeiformes, Clupeidae. The record is from RefSeq and is a predicted model, not a curated record. The transcript is spliced from 4 exons.